UGGGGAAUAUUGCACAAUGGAGGGAACUCUGAUGCAGCGACGCCGCGUGAACGAAGAAGGCUUUCGAGUCGUAAAGUUCUUUUAUAUGGGAAGAUAAUGACGGUACCAUAAGAAAAAGCCCCGGCUAACUACGUGCCAGCAGCCGCGGUAAUACGUAGGGGGCUAGCGUUGUCCGGAAUCACUGGGCGUAAAGGGAGCGUAGACGGCUGUGCAAGUUGGAUGUGAAAUAUUGUGGCUCAACCACAAACGUGCAUCCAAAACUGCAAAGCUUGAGUUAAGGAGAGGUAAGUGGAAUUCCUGGUGUAGCGGUGGAAUGCGUAGAUAUCAGGAGGAAUACCGGUGGCGAAGGCGACUUACUGGACUUAAACUGACGCUCAGGCACGAAAGCGUGGGGAGCAAACAGG
RNAcentral lists this ribosomal RNA (404 nucleotides) under Fusobacteriota bacterium. RNAcentral's name for it is "Fusobacteria bacterium partial 16S ribosomal RNA". It matches the Rfam family "Bacterial small subunit ribosomal RNA", at positions 355 to 776 of the family's 1533-position model. Lineage: Bacteria; Fusobacteriati; Fusobacteriota. The record is from RNAcentral.